CUUCGCAGUGACUCACCCCCAUCUACUGUCUGAGCUGUGCAGCGACGCUUUUGAUCUAAAUUCGCUAUUCAGGACAAAAACUGCACGCCAAGCUCCAGCGACCCAGGAGCCGUGGAUCUUCUGACUUCCGAGAGCAGCGGAGCACGAGUGGAGCAGAGGGUGUGUGUGCACCACGACACAUGAACCCGUUCCUCCAAACUCCUCUAUUCAGAUGCACUUUACAGAAGAGAAGAAAAAAGAAAGCCUUUUGA
RNAcentral lists this long non-coding RNA (251 nucleotides) under Canis lupus dingo (dingo). RNAcentral describes it as "lncRNA (ENSCAFG00020026377.1)". The record is from RNAcentral. Lineage: Eukaryota; Metazoa; Chordata; Mammalia; Carnivora; Canidae.